Tachyglossus aculeatus (Australian echidna) is the source of this 828-nucleotide long non-coding RNA. RefSeq lists it as uncharacterized. NCBI's taxonomy places the organism in Eukaryota, Metazoa, Chordata, Mammalia, Monotremata, Tachyglossidae. The transcript has 3 exons. The record is from RefSeq and is a predicted model, not a curated record.
UGUACUUUCCAAGCCCUUAGUACAGUGCUCUGCACACGAUGGUCAAAUUUCUGCUUCCUAUAUUAGAGACAUAGAAUGAAACAGACAGUUACGGAGCACAAAGAAAUGAAGACUGAGCAAGAUCUUUGAAAGUUUUUUUUUUUUCCUGAAAUCCAUGGCUCUGCCUGCUUUGAUUCUGCAAUUCCAGCAAGAGGACCUCCUUACACCACAUUAAUCAUGUUCUGUGGAAGAGUUUCUGUGUUUUCUUCUGCAGUGCACUGUUGUCCCUGAAGAGUGAAAAAAAAAAUCUCCUUUGGAAAAAAAAAUCUCUCUAAAUGAGGAUUUAAAUUGAAAUUAUUGGUGAAGUUAAAUGGAAAAAAAUAUGCCCAGCAAAAUUAGAAUAGGUAUUUACAUAGAAAUAUAGAUCUUUAAUUACUUUCCUCCUUGGUAUGUCAAAAACUCCCUAAUGUGUUAACUAAAAAUGCUUUAGGGUUUCAUGAUGCCAAUACCAAGCCUACUUCACUGUUACUAUGUGCUUGACACAUAGUAAGCGCUUAACAAAUGCCAUCAUCAUCAUCAUCAUCAUACAGAAAACUCUCCCAUAUCUAAAUAUCAGAAUUUUCAUACAUGAUAUCAAUCAAUCAGAUUAACUGAGUGCUUAGUGUAGGCAAAGAAUGCAUUUGGAAGAGUGCCUUCCCAAAUUCUGCCUGUCCCAUGCAGGGUCUACUAAUAUGGCCACUCAAAUAAAAAUUGAGCUGCCAGUGCUUUUCAGAUUCAUUUUUUCAGUCAAUCAUAUUUAUUAAGCGCUUACUGGGUGUAGAGCGCUGUACUGAGCGCUUGGGAAAGUAC